UACGAACGCUGGCGGCGUGCCUAACACAUGCAAGUCGAGCGAGAAUUUUUCAACAGAUUCCUUCGGGAUGAAGUUGAAGAAGGAGAGCGGCGGACGGGUGAGUAACGCGUGAGUAACCUGCCCAUAAGAGGGGGAUAACACAUGGAAACGUGUGCUAGUACCGCAUAAGCCCACAGGUCGGCAUCGACCAGAGGGAAAAGGAGCAAUCCGCUUUGAGAUGGCCUCGCGUCCGAUUAGCUAGUUGGUGAGGUAACGGCCCACCAAGGCGACGAUCGGUAGCCGGACUGAGAGGUUGAACGGCCACAUUGGGACUGAGACACGGCCCAG
RNAcentral lists this ribosomal RNA (327 nucleotides) under uncultured bacterium. Its description in RNAcentral is "bacterial SSU rRNA". It matches the Rfam family "Bacterial small subunit ribosomal RNA", at positions 29 to 334 of the family's 1533-position model. The record is from RNAcentral.